Molecule: RNA transcript, 2164 nt
Organism: Triticum aestivum (bread wheat)
Lineage: Eukaryota; Viridiplantae; Streptophyta; Magnoliopsida; Poales; Poaceae
Exons: 5
Source: RefSeq, a predicted model, not a curated record
CGUGUGGCCCGGUUGGAAUGGAGCACUACGCCAAAAGUUGAAGUCGGAUUUCUCAAAAAGAAAAAAAGGAAGCCGGAGACUUCGCAGCGACCGGCCGGCGCCGGCCAUGGAGAUGGAGCCGACCGGCCCGAGUACCAAGAGGAUGAGACCCGCGCCACCCGACAUCCACCAAUCGACGCCAGGUCCAGCGGAAACGACCGACCCGGAAGCCACGGCCGCGGGGAGAACCCAACACCCGCCGCCGGGAGCCGGGAGAGAUGGCGGCGAGGGAUCGCCGGACCGCAUCAGCGAUCUUCCCGACGCGGUCCUCGUCGAGAUAAUCUUCCUCCUCCCCACCAAGGAGGGCGCCCGCACCCAAGCCCUCGCGUCCCGGUGGCGCCACCUCUGGCGCGCCGCCCCUCUCAACCUCGACUGCCUUGGCCUCCCCGGCAACCUCCCCGGCGCCAUACUCUCCGCCCACGGGGGCCCCGUCCACCGCCUCUGCCUCCCGUCGCUCCCCCUCCCUGGACAGGCUCCAGGAGCUCGAGUUCUACCUGGAGCUGCCAAUAACAUACAGAUUUUCGUUCUCAAGGUUACAGCUGCUGCAACCACCAACGGCGUCCAUCUUCAGGUUCUCGUGCACUCUCCGCGUCGCCACCGUCAGCCAGUGCCAUCUCCCGGACAAUACUGUGGAGACGCUUCAGUUUCCCCUGCUCAAGAAGCUUGCGCUGGUGGAGGUCAAAAUCUCGGAGGGCUCGCUGCAGAGCAUCAUCGCCUCCGGCUGUUCUGCCCUGGAAAGCUUGUUGCUCAGGACUAGUUUUGACAUCCGUGGUCUCAGGAUCGACUCACCUAUCCUUAAAAGUAUAGGCGUUCAUUCUAGGUUUGUAGAACUCAUCAUUGAGGAUGCCCCUUCACUUGAAAGGUUGCUUUAUCUGAGAAUGGAUAUGAGAAUGCGGGUGUCAGUAAUCUCCGCACCUAGACUGGCGACCUUGGGUUACAUUUCUCAGGAUUCACAGGACUCCAAAAUCAUGUUUGGCUCCACUGUUAUUCAGAGAUUGCGCGUUGUUAGCCUGACAACGGUGGUGCCUACUAUCAAGAUCUUAGCUGUGAAUAUGAAUUCUAAUCUGGAUAUGGUUAUUGAGUUGAUGAAAUGCUUUGUAUGCUUGGAGAAAUUGUAUAUGAAGAUUCAGACAGAUUCACCAGCAGGGACAAAUUUCUGGCGUCAUAAACACCGGAAUUUUCUCACAUCUCAGAACAUUCGUUUGAAGACCUUAGUGCUGGGACAUUACCGAGGCAUCCAGGCACAAGUUAACUUUGUCACAUUCUUUAUACUGAAUGCAAAACUGCUAGAGUCCAUCAGGCUUGAGGUUGAUUCCAGGGAUUACAAUGAUGAAUUUUUCGCAGAACAAUGUAGGAUGCUUCAGAUGGAGAAAAGGAUUUCUAGAGGUGCUCAGCUCUGUGUUACAACAGGUUCUCACAAUGAUGUUUCGAGCACCGUUGACCUCAAUGAUUUGGAUUUGGCUGAUCCGUUCACAUGUAGAUGUUGAGAGGGGGGCCUGGCUCCUGGUUGAGUUAUUCUUGCGUAUCUCAUUCUGUGUUUUUGCCCAAGCUUGGACCAAACGACGAUGGCCAGAGUCAGCUAUAUUGUGAAGAUAUCAUCUGGGGGUGCUCGUUUUGAUUGUCCACUGGUACACCUCCCAGACGGUUCCAUUUGCAGUGAAGAUUGUACAGUGUCUUCUCAACGUCUAUUGCGAGUUAGCAUCGAGUUGCAUUCUUAUAUGCAAGAAGAAGACUCUGAAAGUACCUAUCUGAGUUUGCAUAAAGGAAAAUUUCUGUUGUUCUUUCCACUGUCUGACUAGGGUGUGUUGAACCGUGUUGUUCGAUUGACAAGAGCAUAGCUUCAGAUGGAGAAGAGGGUUUCUAGAAGUGCUCCCCUUUGUUUCAGAGCAGAUUGUCACCAUGAUGUUUCGAGUAUCGUUGAUCUCAGUGAUUUGGAUUUUUGCGAUCCCUUCACAUGUAGAUGAUGAAAGUCGGUCUGGCCCUUUUUGGAGUUAUUCUUGCAUAUCUCACUCUGUUUUGGUCCAAACUUAGCUAGUCUUUCUAACCUUGUUUUGUCCCUGAACUUUGUGUUAUUUAAACACUAAAAGUAAUCAGGACCAAACAACAAUGGCUGGAGUCAGCUAUA